Mirounga angustirostris (Northern elephant seal) is the source of this 2283-nucleotide long non-coding RNA. RefSeq lists it as uncharacterized. NCBI's taxonomy places the organism in Eukaryota, Metazoa, Chordata, Mammalia, Carnivora, Phocidae. The transcript has 3 exons. The record is from RefSeq and is a predicted model, not a curated record.
AGAGACACAGCGAGAGAGGGAACACAAGCGGGGGGAGUGGGAGAGGGAGAAGCAGGCUUCCCGCGGAGCAGGGAGCCCGACGCGGGGCUCGAUCCCAGGACCCUGGGAUCAUGACCUGAGCCGAAGGCAGACGCUUAACGACUGAGCCAUCCAGGCGACCUGAGAUGAAUUUGGAAUGACUUUUUUUCCAAUGGUCACUGUGGACAGUGAGGUAGCCUAUUCAGUCCCUCCCUGCUGCUUGUUUUUAUUGCCUUAUUUUUUUGAGAGAGAGAUUACUUCUUUUCUCCUGCAAGGCCCGGCACCUGAAAUGAGGUUAAAAACUGAAGUUACUCUCCAGCCAGAGGAAGGACAAUGGUAACAGCUCCCAAGUUUUUGCGGCCUUCAUCUUCUCCACAGUCAGCCCCUGACUCAGAGCUGAAGCCCCGUGGAAGCCCGUCAUGGUUUCUCCUUCCUCUAACCCCAGUGAUGGAACCCCGUGGCUUCACCAGAUGCAGUGAGGCACAAAGAGACUUCCUGGAAUGCUGGGACAGGAGUGGCUGCUCCUUUCUGCUGAACUCUCAUCUGAGAGGACAUUGUGAUGGAGGUGGUGCUGCCAUAUUGUUAUCAUGUGGAACAUGAAGCCUACAGGGAGGAAGGGAGAGUCCAAAGAUGAAGAUGUUAUUUGAACUCCAAGUCCAGCCAUGAAGACUCUGGCUUUUUUUUUUUUUUUUUUAAGAUUUUAUUUAUUUAAUUGACAGAGAGAGACACAGUGAGAGAGGAACACAAGCAGGGGGAGUGGGAGAGGGAGAAGCAGGCUUCCCAUUGAGCAGGGAGCCCGAUGCAGGGCUCGAUCCCAGGACCCUGGGAUCAUGACCUGAGCCGAAGGCAGAUGCUUAAUGACUGAGCCACCCAGGUGCCCCCCCCACCUUUUUAAGGAAACUUUUAAUUUAAGGAUAGUUUUGGAUUUACAGAAAAAUUAUAAUAAUAUAGAGAGUUCCCAUAGACCCGGACCCAGGUUCUCCCAUUAUUAACAUCCUGUAUUGGUAUGGUAUACAUAUUAGUUAAUGAAGUGAUACUGAUACAUUUUCAUUAAAUAAAGUCCAUAUUUUAUUCAGGUGUUCCUACUUUUCCCAUCAUGCCCCUUUUUCUGUCCUAGGAGCCCAUCCAGAACACCACACUACUUUUAGUCCUCAUGUCCUCUUGGGCUUCUCUUGGCUGUGACAUUUUCUCAGAUUUUCCUUGUUUUUGGUUACCUCAACACUGGUGAGAAAUACUGGUCAGGUAUUUUGUAAAAUGCCCCCCAGUUGGAGUUUGUCUGAUGUUUUUCUCAUAAAUAGACUGGGUUAUAUGUUUUCAGAGGAAGCCCAUAGAAGUCGAGUGCCAUUCUCAUCACAACAUAUCAAAGGUACAUACUGUUAACGUGCCUUAUCACUGUUACUGUUGACCUUGAUCACCCGGCUGAGGUUAGGUUGGUCAGGUUUCUCCGCUGUAAAGUUACUUUUUCAAUCUCCCUUUUUCUAGACUGCACUUUUGGGAAGGGAGUCAGCAUGGGUAGCUCAUGCUUAAGGAGUGGGGAUUUAUGUUCCUUCCCUUUGAGGAUGGAGUAUCUACAUAAAUUAUUUGGAAUCUUCUGUGUGGGAGAUUUGUCUCUUUCCCCCCAUUUAUUUAUUCAAUCAUUUAUUUAUAUAAAUAUAAAUACUCUUGUAUAUUUAUUUUAUACUUUGGGAUAUAAUCCAACACUGUAUUUUGUUGCUCAAAAUAUUCCAACUUUGGGCAUCGGGAGAUCGGUCAGUUGCCUCCCAUCAUUGGGGUCACCUGGACUUUUUUAGUAACAUGAGCUAUCAAUUCCUUCUUAGUCCAAGUCCGUUUAGAUCAGGGUUUCUGUCGCUUGUAACCAAAAGAUUCUUAACAAAUCUUAAAAGAAGAGAGAGCCCUUAGGUUACAUUACUUGUUGAAAAUCUCACAUGUUUCUUAUGUCAAUGCAGCUAGUGUGACCAUUUUACACUGGAAAGCGCAGAUCCUCCCUUGGGCUGUGGCGACCACUUCGCUGAACACUGUAAUAAUAUCAGGAGGCUCAGGAGAUUGGGGCUGUGUGUGGUUCAAGUUCCAGCCUUGUGGUCUUAGACAAGUCACGUGAUCUCCGAGUUAUAAAAGUGGCACAGAGAUGAGAAGGGAUUAAGUGACAGCACAUCAUUGUGAUUCAAUCCAGAGGCCAAGACUGUGCCUCUCAUCCACUAAUAAACCAGCUACUGGGGAGUGUAAAUGAAGCUCUCAGAGCAGGGCUGCCAGAUAAAAUAUAGGAUG